CGUAAAGUUAAACACAGUGUGGGUUUGGGGAAAUUCAAAGUACACGUGUGACCAAUAGUCAGCAAAUGGUCGCUUGGCUUUAUUUUAAAUAUUGGCCAAGUUAGCCACUCUGGAUUCAUCUUGAAGAUUGGCUUUUUCAAAAAACUAAAGGUGAAUGAUUAUGCUAAUGUCUAGAUACCAAGUUUAUUGAGAUCACAUUGGUUAAGAAGAUUAUGUAUGGAUGAGAAUAGUGAAGAAUUGAUAUUUUGAUUUAAAUAAUGUAUUUAAGUAUUAAUGCCAUCAAAUUUACCAGUACAUAUCUUUAUGGAUUUUGCAUACUAUCUUGAGAAAGAAGAUGUGUGUGGAGUUUGCUUUCUGGCAUGGUUGUAUGACACAAACCUAUGUUCCUGAAGAACUGGAGCCAUAAGCAGUUCUGCCUAAUGUGAUUGGUCAUAGAUUUUGAUUGACUUUAAUCAUACUACAUGAAUAAAAUUUAGGCCAAGUAAUUGAUGAAGAAGACUUACCAGCCAAGAUCCUAGCAGGAGAUAAAGCUAUUUUCGAAUUGCCAAAUCUUGCCCGAGACAGGCAGUACCUGACAGAUGUCAACAAGGGAAAGGAGUUCUUAUAACAAGAAGAGCAGUACCGUGCAAGAACAUCACAGUACCCAGUAGAACAGCAGCUGUUCUCAUGGAAUAGAGCAAAAACUGUCAAGGAAAACAGCAAGA
Non-coding RNA from Microcebus murinus (gray mouse lemur), 704 nucleotides. The record is from RefSeq and is a predicted model, not a curated record. NCBI's taxonomy places the organism in Eukaryota, Metazoa, Chordata, Mammalia, Primates, Cheirogaleidae.